RNAcentral lists this ribosomal RNA (465 nucleotides) under uncultured bacterium. RNAcentral's name for it is "partial 16S ribosomal RNA". It matches the Rfam family "Bacterial small subunit ribosomal RNA", at positions 338 to 795 of the family's 1533-position model. The record is from RNAcentral.
CCUACGGGUGGCAGCAGUAGGGAAUCUUCCACAAUGGGCGCAAGCCUGAUGGAGCAACACCGCGUGAGUGAAGAAGGGUUUCGGCUCGUAAAGCUCUGUUGUUGGAGAAGAACGUGCGUGAGAGUACCUGUUCACGCAGUGACGGUAUCCAACCAGAAAGUCCCGGCUAACUACGUGCCAGCAGCCGCGGUAAUACGUAGGUGGCAAGCGUUAUCCGGAUGUAUUGGGCGUAAAGCGAGCGCAGGCGGUUGCUUAGGUCUGAUGUGAAAGCCUUCGGCUUAACCGAAGAAGUGCAUCGGAAACCGGGGAACUUGAGUGCAGAAGAGGACAGUGGAACUCCAUGUGUAGCGGUGGAAUGCGUAGAUAUAUGGAAGAACACCAGUGGCGAAGGCGGCUGUCUGGGCUGCAACUGACGCUGAGGCUCGAAAGCAUGGGUAGCGAACAGGAUUAGAUACCCCGGUAGUC